This 1313-nucleotide ribosomal RNA is filed under the name uncultured bacterium. RNAcentral's name for it is "bacterial SSU rRNA". It matches the Rfam family "Bacterial small subunit ribosomal RNA", at positions 84 to 1347 of the family's 1533-position model. The record is from RNAcentral.
GGCGCGGACGAGCGGCGAACGGGCGAGUAAACACGUCGAGUCACCCGCCCCUCUUCUUCCGGAUAAACUCGCAUCGAAAGCGCGGCUAAUCCGGGAUAAUUCCGCGCCCGCCGCACGGCGGGCGCGGGAAAGACUCGCGCCUUCGGGCGUUUUCGGUCGGGGGAACGGGCUUCGCGGCCUAUCAGCUUCGUUGGUGGGGCGAUGGCUCUACCAAGGCGGUGACGGGUAGCCGGCUCUGAGAGGGUCGGACGGUCACACUGGGAACUGAGAACACGGCCCAGAACUCCUACGGGAGGCAGCAGUUGGGGAAUAUUUGCACAAUGGGCGCAAGCCUGAUGCAGCGACCCUCCCGUGAGGGAUGGAGGCCUUCGGGUUUGUGAACCUCUUUUCCCAGUUGAAGCAGGCCUGCUCCUUGUGGGUGGGUUUGACGGUAGCUGGAUAAGAAGCCCCGGCUAACUACGUGCCAGCAGCCGCGGUAAUACGUAGGGCGCGAGCGUUGUCCGGAAUUAUUGGGCGUAAAGAGCUCGUAGGCGGCUGGUCGCGUCUGUCGUGAAAUCCUCUGGCUUAACUGGGGGCUUGCGGUGGGUACGGGCCGGCUUGAGUGCGGUAGGGGAGACUGGAACUCCUGGUGUAGCGGUGGAAUGCGCAGAUAUCAGGAAGAACACCGGUGGCGAAGGCGGGUCUCUGGGCCGUUACUGACGCUGAGGAGCGAAAGCGUGGGGAGCGAACAGGAUUAGAUACCCUGGUAGUCCACGCCGUAAACGUUGGGCACUAGGUGUGGGGGGCCUUUUCCGGGUCUUCCGCGCCGUAGCUAACGCAUUAAGUGCCCCGCCUGGGGAGUACGGCCGCAAGGCUAAAACUCAAAGGAAUUGACGGGGGCCCGCACAAGCGGCGGAGCAUGCGGAUUAAUUCGAUGCAACGCGAAGAACCUUACCAAGGCUUGACAUGUGCCGGUCGGCUCCGGAGACGGGGUUUCCUCCUUGUGGGGCCGGUUCACAGGUGGUGCAUGGUUGUCGUCAGCUCGUGUCGUGAGAUGUUGGGUUAAGUCCCGCAACGAGCGCAACCCUUGUCCCGUGUUGCCAGCACGUUGUGGUGGGGACUCGCGGGAGACUGCCGGGGUCAACUCGGAGGAAGGUGGGGAUGACGUCAAAUCAUCAUGCCCCUUAUGUCUUGAGCUUCACGCAUGCUACAAUGGCCGGUACAGAGGGCUGCGAUACCGUGAGGUGGAGCGAAUCCCUUAAAGCCGGUCUCAGUUCGGAAUCGGUGUCUGCGAACUCGACGCCGUGAAAGUUGGAGUCGCUAGUGAAUCGCGG